Molecule: ribosomal RNA, 309 nt
Filed under: Triticum aestivum (bread wheat)
Lineage: Eukaryota; Viridiplantae; Streptophyta; Magnoliopsida; Poales; Poaceae
Description: partial small subunit ribosomal RNA
Source: RNAcentral
AUGCAUAUGAAUAUUAUUUAUAUGUCCAGACUUCUAGAAAUGCUCCGUUGUGAAAACAUGGACCAAACAAUCCAUCUGAAUGGGAAGCAGCAAGUCAGAUACCGUUCCACCACCGAGUACAACACUACUCCAAGACCUGCCAUGCCCCCGCCUCCCGCUCCCGCUCCCGCUCCCGCCGUCCCAUCGGUGGUUGCCUCGGGCCGUGGCAGUGUGGUGUGGCACCGGCCUUGGCCCCCGUGCCUUACGGCGAGCUCCUGCCCCGCGCUCAAGCCCUCCUGCAACCCGUCCCGUCCGACCUCUCGGCCGUGA